Molecule: transfer RNA, 77 nt
Filed under: Tissierellia bacterium
Lineage: Bacteria; Bacillati; Bacillota; Tissierellia
Description: tRNA-Arg
Rfam family: tRNA
About the family: Transfer RNA (tRNA) molecules are approximately 80 nucleotides in length. Their secondary structure includes four short double-helical elements and three loops (D, anti-codon, and T loops).
Source: RNAcentral
GCACUCGUAGCUCAGCUGGAUAGAGUACGUGACUACGAAUCACGGGGUCGGGAGUUCGAAUCUCUCCGAGUGCGCCA